GACGAACGCUGGCGGCGUGCCUAAUACAUGCAAGUCGAGCGAGCUUGCCUAGAUGAAUUUGGUGCUUGCACCAGAUGAAACUAGAUACAAGCGAGCGGCGGACGGGUGAGUAACACGUGGGUAACCUGCCCAAGAGACUGGGAUAACACCUGGAAACAGAUGCUAAUACCGGAUAACAACACUAGACGCAUGUCUAGAGUUUAAAAGAUGGUUCUGCUAUCACUCUUGGAUGGACCUGCGGUGCAUUAGCUAGUUGGUAAGGCAACGGCUUACCAAGGCAAUGAAGCAUAGCCGAGUUGAGAGACUGAUCGGCCACAUUGGGACUGAGACACGGCCCAAACUCCUACGGGAGGCAGCAGUAGGGAAUCUUCCACAAUGGACGCAAGUCUGAUGGAGCAACGCCGCGUGAGUGAAGAAGGGUUUCGGCUCGUAAAGCUCUGUUGGUAGUGAAGAAAGAUAGAGGUAGUAACUGGCCUUUAUUUGACGGUAAUUACUUAGAAAGUCACGGCUAACUACGUG
This 519-nucleotide ribosomal RNA is filed under the name uncultured bacterium. RNAcentral's name for it is "partial 16S ribosomal RNA". It matches the Rfam family "Bacterial small subunit ribosomal RNA", at positions 28 to 507 of the family's 1533-position model. The record is from RNAcentral.